AUUCAACGCUGGCGGAAUGCUUUACACAUGCAAGUCGAACGGCAGCACGGGGGCAGCCCUGGUGGCGAGUGGCGAACGGGUGAGUAAUACAUCGGAACGUGCCCGGUCGUGGGGGAUAACGUAGCGAAAGUUACGCUAAUACCGCAUACGAUCUGAGGAUGAAAGCGGGGGACCUUCGGGCCUCGCGCGAUCGGAGCGGCCGAUGUCAGAUUAGGUAGUUGGUGGGGUAAAGGCCUACCAAGCCGACGAUCUGUAGCUGGUCUGAGAGGACGACCAGCCACACUGGGACUGAGACACGGCCCAGACUCCUACGGGAGGCAGCAGUGGGGAAUUUUGGACAAUGGGCGCAAGCCUGAUCCAGCCAUUCCGCGUGCAGGACGAAGGCCUUCGGGUUGUAAACUGCUUUUGUACGGAACGAAAAGGCUCUGGCUAAUACCUGGGGCUCAUGACGGUACCGUAAGAAUAAGCACCGGCUAACUACGUG
RNAcentral lists this ribosomal RNA (484 nucleotides) under uncultured bacterium. RNAcentral describes it as "partial 16S ribosomal RNA". It matches the Rfam family "Bacterial small subunit ribosomal RNA", at positions 32 to 507 of the family's 1533-position model. The record is from RNAcentral.